This 507-nucleotide ribosomal RNA is filed under the name uncultured bacterium. RNAcentral's name for it is "bacterial SSU rRNA". It matches the Rfam family "Bacterial small subunit ribosomal RNA", at positions 380 to 905 of the family's 1533-position model. The record is from RNAcentral.
AGCCUGAUCUAGCCAUGCCGCGUGAGUGAAGAAGGCCUUAGGGUCGUAAAGCUCUUUCGCCAGGGAUGAUAAUGACAGUACCUGGUAAAUAAACCCCGGCUAACUCCGUGCCAGCAGCCGCGGUAAUACGGAGGGGGUUAGCGUUGUUCGGAAUUACUGGGCGUAAAGCGCACGUAAGCGGAUUAGAAAGUUAGAGGUGAAAUCCCAGGGCUCAACCCUGGAACUGCCUUUAAAACUCCUAGUCUUGAGUUCGAGAGAGGUGAGUGGAAUUCCAAGUGUAAAGGUGAAAUUCAUAUAUAUUUGGAGGAACACCAGUGGCGAAGGCGGCUCACUGGCUCGAUACUGACGCUCAUGUGCGAAAGUGUGGGUAGCGAACAGGAUUAAAUACCCUGGUAGUCCACACCGUAAACGAUGAAUGCCAGUCGUCGGGUAGUAUACUAUUCGGUGACACACCUAACGGAUUAAGCAUUCCGCCUGGGGAGUACGGUCGCAAGAUUAAAACUCAAA